This 68-nucleotide transfer RNA is filed under the name Maoricicada cassiope. Its description in RNAcentral is "tRNA-Ser". Lineage: Eukaryota; Metazoa; Arthropoda; Insecta; Hemiptera; Cicadidae. The record is from RNAcentral.
AAGGAAACAUAGAAAUAAAAUUAGCUUCUAACUAACUUUUAAAGCGGUUAAAUUCCGUUUUUUCCUUA